This 240-nucleotide ribosomal RNA is filed under the name Triticum aestivum (bread wheat). RNAcentral describes it as "partial small subunit ribosomal RNA". Lineage: Eukaryota; Viridiplantae; Streptophyta; Magnoliopsida; Poales; Poaceae. The record is from RNAcentral.
AUGCCUCUCCCUGCGAACCUUGUAAUGGGGUCCGCCUUCGUCGCGCUCGGCGUCGCGCUCCUCGCCGGCUUCCUCUACGUCGCCGUCUGGUCCAAGGCCCUCGCGCCGAGCGACAACUGGUUCUUGCUCGCCGUUCAAAACGACAGGUAUUACUGCUUGCUUGUGCCCCUGACGGUCCCCGUCAUAAUCGUGGCUGUGUACCUGCAUUGGCUGAGCAUGAAGAUGUUUAAGCAUGCGUGA